CCUACGGGUGGCAGCAGUCGAGAAUCAUUCACAAUGGGGGAAACCCUGAUGGUGCGACGCCGCGUGGGGGAAUGAAGGUCUUCGGAUUGUAAACCCCUGUCAUGUGGGAGCAAAUUAAAAAGAUAGUACCACAAGAGGAAGAGACGGCUAACUCUGUGUCAGCAGCCGCGGUAAUACAGAGGUCUCAAGCGUUGUUCGGAAUCACUGGGCGUAAAGCGUGCGUAGGCUGUUUCGUAAGUCGUGUGUGAAAGGCGCGGGCUCAACCCGCGGACGGCACAUGAUACUGCGAGACUAGAGUGAUGGAGGGGGAACCGGAAUUCUAGGUGUAGCAGUGAAAUGCGUAGAUAUCGAGAGGAACACUAGUGGCGAAGGCGGGUUCCUGGACAUUAACUGACGCUGAGGCACGAAGGCCAGGGGAGCGAAAGGGAUUAGAGACCCCAGUAGUC
Molecule: ribosomal RNA, 446 nt
Filed under: uncultured bacterium
Lineage: Bacteria
Description: partial 16S ribosomal RNA
Rfam family: Bacterial small subunit ribosomal RNA
Source: RNAcentral